This 462-nucleotide ribosomal RNA is filed under the name uncultured bacterium. Its description in RNAcentral is "partial 16S ribosomal RNA". It matches the Rfam family "Bacterial small subunit ribosomal RNA", at positions 28 to 507 of the family's 1533-position model. The record is from RNAcentral.
GACGAACGCUGGCGGCGUGCUUAACACAUGCAAGUCGAACGGAAAGGCCCUUCGGGGUACUCGAGUGGCGAACGGGUGAGUAACACGUGGGUGAUCUGCCCUGCACUUUGGGAUAAGCCUGGGACACUGGGUCUAAUACCGAAUAGGACCACGCGCUUCAUGGUGUGUGGUGGAAAGCUUUUGCGGUGUGGGAUGGGCCCGCGGCCUAUCAGCUUGUUGGUGGGGUAAUGGCCUACCAAGGCGACGACGGGUAGCCGGCCUGAGAGGGUGACCGGCCACACUGGGACUGAGAUACGGCCCAGACUCCUACGGGAGGCAGCAGUGGGGAAUAUUGCACAAUGGGCGCAAGCCUGAUGCAGCGACGCCGCGUGAGGGAUGACGGCCUUCGGGUUGUAAACCUCUUUCAAUAGGGACGAAGCGCAAGUGACGGUACCUAUAGAAGAAGCACCGGCCAACUACGUG